Alligator mississippiensis (American alligator) is the source of this 92-nucleotide non-coding RNA. NCBI's taxonomy places the organism in Eukaryota, Metazoa, Chordata, Crocodylia, Alligatoridae. The record is from Rfam.
UGUCCCUCUCAGAUCUUUUUGCGGUCUGGGCUUGCUGUUCCUCCAACCCACACUCAGGAAGCCCUUACCCCAAAAAGUAUCCGCGGGGGAGC